This 716-nucleotide long non-coding RNA is filed under the name Oryza sativa (Asian cultivated rice). Its description in RNAcentral is "long non-coding RNA (OSAT_LNC000217)". The record is from RNAcentral. Lineage: Eukaryota; Viridiplantae; Streptophyta; Magnoliopsida; Poales; Poaceae.
ACACUUGAAUAUUUGGGGUCACAUGACAUGAGAUGGUGCUGAAAAUGUUGGGAGAGUGAACAAAAACCCAGGAUUCAAGGGCCAAUGUUUUGGAGUACCAAAACAGUGCCAAUUCAACACGCAUCGUCCCAUGCCAAGAUGCAAAUUUCAGUAGUACCCCCAGGUCCCCCAAUUGCUUGCUGCCCAUUUGAAAACAAGGGAAGAUGCCAAGAUUUGGCCUGAACUCACACUAAGAUCAAGGAGAGCAAUAUGGACCACUUCUUAUCCUUGCUGCUCCUGCAUUUGGUGAUUCAGACAACAUGACGAGCAAACGGUCCGCAUCUGAAAUCAAAGGAUGAAAUAUAAUGGAGUGCAGAAGUUAAUAUAAUCAGGCAUGUCAAAUUUACAUAUUUGUUUUUAGAUAAUGUCAAACUUUCAGAUGGAGUGAAAACAAAUGGCAAUCUGAAAGUUUUUAUAUAUAUAUAUGGAGCCUGAGUUUGUUGACAGUUCUUGUGAUGGACUGAGACAUAAAGAAAUCUUCGAAUACAAGCAAAUAACAGAUUAUGGAGUUUGUAAUUUGCAGAAUUUGUACAAUCGAAUAUCAUAAAGAAAUCUCAAAUUCAGAAUUGUACUUUGCAGAGAGAGCUUCAGUACCUCUUAUGGAGUUUUGCUGAUACAGUGCUCUUCAAACAAACAUCAGCAUGAACACGCAAUGAUGAUAGCAUCUAGUAACACUG